This 972-nucleotide ribosomal RNA is filed under the name human gut metagenome. RNAcentral's name for it is "bacterial LSU rRNA". It matches the Rfam family "Bacterial large subunit ribosomal RNA", at positions 1958 to 2925 of the family's 2925-position model. The record is from RNAcentral.
AGCGAAAUUCCUUGUCGGGUAAGUUCCGACCUGCACGAAUGGCAUAACGAUGGCCACACUGUCUCCUCCCGAGACUCAGUGAAGUUGAAAUGUUUGUGAUGAUGCAAUCUACCCGCGGCUAGACGGAAAGACCCCAUGAACCUUUACUGCAGCUUUGCAUUGAACUGUGAACCGAUUUGUGUAGGAUAGGUGGGAGGCAGAGAAGAGGCCACGCCAGUGGUCUUGGAGCCGACCUUGAAAUACCACCCUGAUUUGUUUGCGGUUCUAACCACGGACAGUGAUCCUGUCUUGGGACCGUGCAUGGUAGGCAGUUUGACUGGGGCGGUCUCCUCCUAAAGGGUAACGGAGGAGUACGAAGGUACGCUAGGUACGGUCGGAAAUCGUGCUGAUAGUGCAAUGGCAAAAGCGUGCUUGACUGCGAGAGCAACAACUCGAGCAGAUGCGAAAGCAGGUCAUAGUGAUCCGGUGGCUCUGAAUGGAAGGGCCAUCGCUCAACGGAUAAAAGGUACUCUGGGGAUAACAGGCUGAUACCGCCCAAGAGUUCAUAUCGACGGCGGUGUUUGGCACCUCGAUGUCGGCUCAUCGCAUCCUGGGGCUGUAGUCGGUCCCAAGGGUAUGGCUGUUCGCCAUUUAAAGAGGUACGUGAGCUGGGUUUAAAACGUCGUGAGACAGUUUGGUCCCUAUCUGCCGUGGGCGUUGGAAGAUUGACGGGGGCUGCUCCUAGUACGAGAGGACCGGAGUGGACGCACCUCUGGUGUACCGGUUGUCACGCCAGUGGCAUUGCCGGGUAGCUAAGUGCGGAAGAGAUAACCGCUGAAAGCAUCUAAGCGGGAAACUUGCCUGAAGAUGAGUCUUCCCGGAGGUUGAACCUCCCUCAAGAGUCGUCCGAGACCAGGACGUCGAUAGGUCAGGUGUGUAAGCGCUGUAAGGCGUUGAGCUAACUGAUACUAAUUGCUCGUGAGGCUUGAUCCU